AAGGAUUUAAGUUAAGGUUAAACUAAUAGCCUUCAAAGCUGGAAAUAGGGGAAAAUUCCUAAGCCUUA
Molecule: transfer RNA, 68 nt
Filed under: Xystrocera globosa
Lineage: Eukaryota; Metazoa; Arthropoda; Insecta; Coleoptera; Cerambycidae
Description: tRNA-Trp
Rfam family: tRNA
About the family: Transfer RNA (tRNA) molecules are approximately 80 nucleotides in length.
Source: RNAcentral